RNAcentral lists this ribosomal RNA (435 nucleotides) under uncultured bacterium. Its description in RNAcentral is "partial 16S ribosomal RNA". It matches the Rfam family "Bacterial small subunit ribosomal RNA", at positions 29 to 507 of the family's 1533-position model. The record is from RNAcentral.
AGCGAACGCUGGCGGCAGGCUUAACACAUGCAAGUCGAGCGGGCAUAGCAAUAUGUCAGCGGCAGACGGGUGAGUAACGCGUGGGAACGUACCUUUUGGUUCGGAACAACUGAGGGAAACUUCAGCUAAUACCGGAUAAGCCCUUACGGGGAAAGAUUUAUCGCCGAAAGAUCGGCCCGCGUCUGAUUAGCUAGUUGGUGAGGUAAUGGCUCACCAAGGCGACGAUCAGUAGCUGGUCUGAGAGGAUGAUCAGCCACACUGGGACUGAGACACGGCCCAGACUCCUACGGGAGGCAGCAGUGGGGAAUCUUAGACAAUGGGGGCAACCCUGAUCUAGCCAUGCCGCGUGAGUGAUGAAGGCCUUAGGGUUGUAAAGCUCUUUCAGCUGGGAAGAUAAUGACGGUACCAGCAGAAGAAGCCCCGGCUAACUCCGUG